This 566-nucleotide long non-coding RNA is filed under the name Androctonus crassicauda. Lineage: Eukaryota; Metazoa; Arthropoda; Arachnida; Scorpiones; Buthidae. The record is from RNAcentral.
GUUUUAUUAUCCGGCCUGCCCUUCCGCCGCAUUAGGCCGGAUACUUGGGAGUGUACUGUAGUUAUAUAAUAUGUAUUAUCAUUGUGCAGAUUUUAUGUUUGUAAUGUGUCUCAAUCCAAAUUUAUUAACUUUUCUUUAGCAUUUUGAAGUCCAACACCAUUAGCAUACAGUGCUAGUGUGAUGUUGGACUAAAGGUUGUCAUUAAUUUAUCUUUAGAUAUUAUAUCUAAAGGUAAAUUAAUGACAGCCUUGUCAGUUGAAGCAUAUUCAGAUGAUUUGCAAAUAGAUUGGAACCAAGCAAGAAUCAUUAGGAGGUUGCAUACACCAAACCAAGUCACAAUUUCAGAAAUACUAGAAAUCAUCUCAAGGCAGGAGAUAGAGAACAUUCUAAAUGAAAAACUUGCCCAACAGCUUUCUCCAGCAUGGUUGUAUGCUAUCAAAAAUCUGAUGCCCACUCCACACUAAUUUUACUUUUGAACUGUAUUUUUUUAUUUUUCAAUGCAUUAAUUUUCUUUUAUAUAGUUAAAUACUUUGUUUUAAUAGUUAUUUUUAUAUUGUAACCAUGGC